UUCCGGUUGAUCCCGCCGGACCUGACUGCUAUCGGAUUGAUACUAAGCCAUGCGAGUCAUUGUAGUAAUACAAGGCAGACGGCUCAGUAACGCGUAGUCAACCUAACCUAUGGACGGGAAUAACCUCGGGAAACUGAGUAUAAUGCCCGAUAGAACAUUAUACCUGGAAUGGUUUAUGUUCCAAAUGAUUUAUCGCCGUAGGAUGGGACUGCGGCCUAUCAGUUUGUUGGUGAGGUAAUGGCCCACCAAGACUAUUACAGGUACGGGCUCUGAGAGGAGUGGCCCGGAGAUGGGUACUGAGACACGGACCCAGGCCCUAUGGGGCGCAGCAGGCGAGAAAACUUUGCAAUGUGCGAAAGCACGACAAGGUUAAUCCGAGUGGUUUCUGCUAAAGGAACCUUUUGUCGGUCCUAGAAACACUGGUGAAUAAGGGGUGGGCAAGUUCUGGUGUCAGCCGCCGCGGUAAAACCAGCACCUCAAGUGGUCAGGAUGAUUAUUGGGCCUAAAGCAUCCGUAGCCUGCUUUGUUAGUUUUCGGUUAAAUCCAUAUGCUCAACGUAUGGGCUGCCGGGAAUACUGCAAAGCUAGGGAGUGGGAGAGGUAGACGGUACUCGGUAGGAAGGGGUAAAAUCCUUUGAUCUAUUGAUGACCACCUGUGGCGAAGGCGGUCUACCAGAACACGUCCGACGGUGAGGGAUGAAAGCUGGGGGAGCAAACCGGAUUAGAUACCCGGGUAGUCCCAGCUGUAAACUAUGCAAACUCAGUGAUGCAUUGGCUUGAUGCCAAUGCAGUGCUGCAGGGAAGCCGUUAAGUUUGCCGCCUGGGAAGUACGUACGCAAGUAUGAAACUUAAAGGAAUUGGCGGGGGAGCACCACAAGGGGUGAAGCCUGCGGUUCAAUUGGAUUCAACGCCGGAA
RNAcentral lists this ribosomal RNA (915 nucleotides) under uncultured archaeon. RNAcentral describes it as "bacterial SSU rRNA". It matches the Rfam family "Archaeal small subunit ribosomal RNA", at positions 1 to 923 of the family's 1478-position model. The record is from RNAcentral.